This 400-nucleotide ribosomal RNA is filed under the name uncultured bacterium. RNAcentral's name for it is "bacterial SSU rRNA". It matches the Rfam family "Bacterial small subunit ribosomal RNA", at positions 355 to 752 of the family's 1533-position model. The record is from RNAcentral.
UAGGGAAUAUUGGACAAUGGAGGGAACUCUGAUCCAGCCAUGCCGCGUGAGCGAAGAAGGCGCUAUGCGUUGUAAAGCUCUUUUAGAGGGGACGAAAAAGGGUCAUUUAUGAUCAACUGACGGUACCUUCGGAAUAAGCACCGGCUAACUCCGUGCCAGCAGCCGCGGUAAUACGGAGGGUGCAAGCGUUAUCCGGAAUCACUGGGUUUAAAGGGUGCGUAGGCGGUGGGAUAAGUCAGAGGUGAAAUGUAUUCGCUUAACGAAUAAAUUGCCUUUGAUACUGUUUCACUUGAAUCGAGAUGAGGUAUGCGGAAUGAGACAUGUAGCGGUGAAAUGCAUAGAUAUGUCUUAGAACACCGAUUGCGAAGGCAGCAUACUGGGCUUGUAUUGACGCUGAGGC